GCGAUUUUGGAAUGCAGGAUGCACAUCCUUCCCAGAUGAGACACCUCUCCAGCUGAAAAAAUCAAAUGCCAGGACAUCAGUAGCUGGUGCUUCAAUUUCCAAUUCCUGGUUCAGGUGUGGGGAUGGAUUCCAGAGCACUUCCGUGCUUGAGUCUCUGAAACCUACUGAUAAACAAUCCAGGUUUAAGAAGCAUCUUGGACAGCUGCUAACAUCUGCUGAAAGCACAGUAGGAUCUUCUGCUGCUGGAAGCUCUAAGGAGUCUGAGGACAUAAUAUGGAGCUCUAGUGGCAGUGAUUUUUCAGAUGAUGAAAACAAAACAUCAAUUUCAAGGUUAUGCAAUGAAAAAAGUUAUGCUUCUAAAGCAGA
Tinamus guttatus (white-throated tinamou) is the source of this 366-nucleotide long non-coding RNA. RefSeq lists it as uncharacterized. Lineage: Eukaryota; Metazoa; Chordata; Aves; Tinamiformes; Tinamidae. The record is from RefSeq and is a predicted model, not a curated record.